GCAGUAGCUCAGGUGGUGGAGCAGGUCGCCUGGUAACCGGGAGGUUGCUGGUUCGAUCCCAGCUCCUCCUACCCA
Non-coding RNA from Merluccius polli (Benguela hake), 75 nucleotides. The record is from the annotation of a GenBank genome assembly. Lineage: Eukaryota; Metazoa; Chordata; Actinopteri; Gadiformes; Merlucciidae.